UGAAGAGUUUGAUCAUGGCUCAGAUUGAACGCUGGCGGCAGGCCUAACACAUGCAAGUCGAACGGUAACAGGAAGCAGCUUGCUGCUUCGCUGACGAGUGGCGGACGGGUGAGUAAUGUCUGGGAAACUGCCUGAUGGAGGGGGAUAACUACUGGAAACGGUGGCUAAUACCGCAUAACGUCGCAAGACCAAAGAGGGGGACCUUCGGGCCUCUUGCCAUCAGAUGUGCCCAGAUGGGAUUAGCUAGUUGGUGAGGUAACGGCUCACCAAGGCGACGAUCCCUAGCUGGUCUGAGAGGAUGACCAGCCACACUGGAACUGAGACACGGUCCAGACUCCUACGGGAGGCAGCAGUGGGGAAUAUUGCACAAUGGGCGCAAGCCUGAUGCAGCCAUGCCGCGUGUAUGAAGAAGGCCUUCGGGUUGUAAAGUACUUUCAGCGGGGAGGAAGGUGUUGUGGUUAAUAACCGCAGCAAUUGACGUUACCCGCAGAAGAAGCACCGGCUAACUCCGUGCCAGCAGCCGCGGUAAUACGGAGGGUGCAAGCGUUAAUCGGAAUUACUGGGCGUAAAGCGCACGCAGGCGGUCUGUCAAGUCGGAUGUGAAAUCCCCGGGCUCAACCUGGGAACUGCAUUCGAAACUGGCAGGCUUGAGUCUUGUAGAGGGGGGUAGAAUUCCAGGUGUAGCGGUGAAAUGCGUAGAGAUCUGGAGGAAUACCGGUGGCGAAGGCGGCCCCCUGGACAAAGACUGACGCUCAGGUGCGAAAGCGUGGGGAGCAAACAGGAUUAGAUACCCUGGUAGUCCACGCCGUAAACGAUGUCUACUUGGAGGUUGUGCCCUUGAGGCGUGGCUUCCGGAGCUAACGCGUUAAGUAGACCGCCUGGGGAGUACGGCCGCAAGGUUAAAACUCAAAUGAAUUGACGGGGGCCCGCACAAGCGGUGGAGCAUGUGGUUUAAUUCGAUGCAACGCGAAGAACCUUACCUGGUCUUGACAUCCACAGAACUUUCCAGAGAUGGAUUGGUGCCUUCGGGAACUGUGAGACAGGUGCUGCAUGGCUGUCGUCAGCUCGUGUUGUGAAAUGUUGGGUUAAGUCCCGCAACGAGCGCAACCCUUAUCCUUUGUUGCCAGCGGUUAGGCCGGGAACUCAAAGGAGACUGCCAGUGAUAAACUGGAGGAAGGUGGGGAUGACGUCAAGUCAUCAUGGCCCUUACGACCAGGGCUACACACGUGCUACAAUGGCGCAUACAAAGAGAAGCGACCUCGCGAGAGCAAGCGGACCUCAUAAAGUGCGUCGUAGUCCGGAUUGGAGUCUGCAACUCGACUCCAUGAAGUCGGAAUCGCUAGUAAUCGUGGAUCAGAAUGCCACGGUGAAUACGUUCCCGGGCCUUGUACACACCGCCCGUCACACCAUGGGAGUGGGUUGCAAAAGAAGUAGGUAGCUUAACCUUCGGGAGGGCGCUUACCACUUUGUGAUUCAUGACUGGGGUGAAGUCGUAACAAGGUAACCGUAGGGGAACCUGCGGUUGGAUCACCUCCUUACCUGAAAAAA
This 1548-nucleotide ribosomal RNA is filed under the name Salmonella enterica. RNAcentral's name for it is "bacterial SSU rRNA". It matches the Rfam family "Bacterial small subunit ribosomal RNA". Lineage: Bacteria; Pseudomonadati; Pseudomonadota; Gammaproteobacteria; Enterobacterales; Enterobacteriaceae. The record is from RNAcentral.